AGUGAACGCUGGCGGUAGGCCUAACACAUGCAAGUCGAACGGCAGCACAGGAGAGCUUGCUCUCUGGGUGGCGAGUGGCGGACGGGUGAGGAAUACAUCGGAAUCUACUCUGUCGUGGGGGAUAACGUAGGGAAACUUACGCUAAUACCGCAUACGACCUACGGGUGAAAGCAGGGGACCUUCGGGCCCUGCGCGAUUGAAUGAGCCGAUGUCGGAUUAGCUAGUGGGCGGGGUAAAGGCCCACCAAGGCGACGAGCCGUAGCUGUUCUGAGAGGAUAAUAGGCCACCCGGAAAUGGGGACACGGGCAAGACUCUAACGGAAGGAGGCGGGGGGGAAAAUUGGACAAUGGGCGCAGGCCUGUUCCAGCCAAACGGCGUGGGUGAAGAAGGCCUUCGGGUUGAAAAGCCUUUUGUUGGGAAAGAAAUCCAGCUGGCUAAUACCCGGUUGGGAUGACGGUACCCAAAGAAUAAGCACCGGCUAACUUCGUGCCAGCAGCCGCCGCGG
RNAcentral lists this ribosomal RNA (505 nucleotides) under uncultured bacterium. Its description in RNAcentral is "partial 16S ribosomal RNA". It matches the Rfam family "Bacterial small subunit ribosomal RNA", at positions 30 to 523 of the family's 1533-position model. The record is from RNAcentral.